GUCCCGCCGCCCCCGCCCGCCUACGGGAGGAGCAGUGGGGAAUUUUGGACAAUGGGGGCAACCCUGAUCCAGCCAUGCCGCGUGAGUGAAGAAGGCCUUCGGGUUGUAAAGCUCUUUCAGCCGGGAAGAAAAUGCAUAGGUUAAUACCCUGUGCGGAUGACGGUACCGGAAUAAGAAGCACCGGCUAACUACG
RNAcentral lists this ribosomal RNA (193 nucleotides) under uncultured Pseudomonadota bacterium. RNAcentral describes it as "uncultured proteobacterium partial 16S ribosomal RNA". It matches the Rfam family "Bacterial small subunit ribosomal RNA", at positions 318 to 505 of the family's 1533-position model. The record is from RNAcentral. Lineage: Bacteria; Pseudomonadati; Pseudomonadota.